AUUGAACGCUGGCGGCAUGCCUUACACAUGCAAGUCGAACGGCAGCAUGGAGAGCUUGCUCUCUGAUGGCGAGUGGCGAACGGGUGAGUAAUGCAUCGGAACGUACCGUGUAAUGGGGGAUAACGUAGCGAAAGUUACGCUAAUACCGCAUACGACCUGAGGGUGAAAGCAGGGGAUCGCAAGACCUUGCGUUAAACGAGCGGCCGAUGUCAGAUUAGCUAGUUGGUGAGGUAGAGGCUCACCAAGGCGACGAUCUGUAGCGGGUCUGAGAGGAUGAUCCGCCACACUGGGACUGAGACACGGCCCAGACUCCUACGGGAGGCAGCAGUGGGGAAUUUUGGACAAUGGGGGCAACCCUGAUCCAGCCAUGCCGCGUGAGUGAAGAAGGCCUUCGGGUUGUAAAGCUCUUUCGGCCGGGAAGAAAUCGCACAGGCUAAUACUCUGUGUGGAUGACGGUACCGGCAUAAGAAGCACCGGCUAACUACGUGCCAGCCGCCGCGGUAA
This 504-nucleotide ribosomal RNA is filed under the name uncultured bacterium. RNAcentral describes it as "partial 16S ribosomal RNA". It matches the Rfam family "Bacterial small subunit ribosomal RNA", at positions 30 to 523 of the family's 1533-position model. The record is from RNAcentral.